CAGGAAUUCAGCUUACUUUGUGAAAACUCAUACAGAGUCAAGGAAAAAAUAAACCGAAGAGGAUAUCACUGCCAUGCUGAACUUUUUAAUUGACAACAUAUUUGUUGAAUUUGGAGGUUUGGUCUUCCAACAGACUAUUUGAAUCCCAAUGGGUACCAAUUGCGCUCCUCUACUUGCAGAUUUGUUUUUAUUUUCAUAUGAAGCAGAAUUUAUCCAAGGG
This 220-nucleotide long non-coding RNA is filed under the name Mytilus galloprovincialis (Mediterranean mussel). Lineage: Eukaryota; Metazoa; Mollusca; Bivalvia; Mytilida; Mytilidae. The record is from RNAcentral.